RNAcentral lists this ribosomal RNA (200 nucleotides) under uncultured bacterium. RNAcentral describes it as "partial 16S ribosomal RNA". It matches the Rfam family "Bacterial small subunit ribosomal RNA", at positions 29 to 254 of the family's 1533-position model. The record is from RNAcentral.
AGCGAACGCUGGCGGCAGGCUUAACACAUGCAAGUCGAGCGGGCAUAGCAAUAUGUCAGCGGCAGACGGGUGAGUGACGCGUGGGAACGUACCUUUUGGUUCGGAACAACACAGGGAAACUUGUGCUAAUACCGGAUAAGCCCUUACGGGGAAAGAUUUAUCGCCGAAAGAUCGGCCCGCGUCUGAUUAGCUAGUUGGUG